CCCUUAGAUGUUCUGGGCGGCCCGCGCACUACACUGGCACUCUCAAUCAGAGCCUGGAUCUAACACUUUGGGGUAUUCUAUGAAGUGGUGUCGUGACUGGGAUUAACCCUUGCAAUUAUUGGUUACGAACGAGGAAUUCCUUGUAAUCGCGGUUUAUCAGCCCGCGUUGAAUGCGUCCCUGCCCUUUGUACACACCGCCCGUCGCUCCUACCGAUGGAUCGUCCGGUGAAGCUCAUGGAGGGGCGGUUGUCCCAGCUGCCGUCGAAGUGAAAUGGACCUCACGAUCUAGAGGAAGGAGAAGUCGUAACA
Molecule: ribosomal RNA, 309 nt
Filed under: uncultured eukaryote
Lineage: Eukaryota
Description: partial 18S ribosomal RNA
Rfam family: Eukaryotic small subunit ribosomal RNA
Source: RNAcentral